CAGCCGCGUAAUUCCAGCUCCAAUAGCGUAUAUUAAAGUUGUUGCAGUUAAAAAGCUCGUAGUUGAAUUUCGAGAUCAAAUUGUUGGUCGUGCCUCGGUACGUACUGGCAUUAUUGAUUUCUCCUUUCUGAAGAACCUUGAUGUCAUUAAUUUGGUGUCUUGGGGAAUCAGGACUGUUACUUUGAAAAAAUUAGAGUGUUUAAAGCAGGCUUACGCUUGAAUACAUUAGCAUGGAAUAAUGAAAUAGGACGUUUAAUUCUAUUUUGUUGGUUUCUAGGAUUGACGUAAUGAUUAAUAGGGAUAGUUGGGGGCAUUAGUAUUCAAUUGUCAGAGGUGAAAUUCUUGGAUUUAUUGAAGACUAACUACUGCGAAAGCAUUUGCCAAGGAUGUUUUCAUUAAUCAAGAACGAAAGUUAGGGGAUCGAAGACGAUCAGAUACCGUUGUAGUCUUAACCAUAAACUAUGCCGACUAGGGAUCGGAUGAUGUUAAUUUAUGACUCAUUCGGCGCCUUACG
Molecule: unclassified non-coding RNA, 514 nt
Filed under: uncultured Glomeromycotina
Lineage: Eukaryota; Fungi; Glomeromycota
Description: SSU rRNA
Rfam family: Eukaryotic small subunit ribosomal RNA
Source: RNAcentral